GGUGGCGCGGCUGAGAGAGGCCCGCGGCUCGCGACAUGCCCCGCGUCUAAGGCCUUCGGAGACCACAGUCUCCGCGGACCCCUGGCUGGAGCCCAAAGCCGGCCGGACCUCCUUCCCGCGACUCCCUUUCCGCGGCUCGGAGAGGAAGGCAGGAGGGCCCCCAAAUAUCGUUCCCCUCCAGCAGAGGCAGCGAGAGAAAGAAAAAAAAGUCGCGGAGGAGGGCGGCCCGAGCGACCUAAGGGACAGGGCAGCGCCAGCGACCGAGGGAAAUUAGUCAGGGUGGGGUACAGGGAGACAAGCCCCCAGAAUUUAGGAAACUCCGAAGCUUGGAGCUGGAGUCCUGAAUUGACUCCAAUGACAACUGCUCCGGAUCUGUGCCAGGAGCCACACCCCGGGCUGCCACGCCCGGAGGGAGGGGGGCCCUAAGACCUGCUGCAUGGAAUCCCCACUCGGAAAGCCUCAGUAAACUCCAGAAUGCAACUACUGCAUGUUCCAAUCUCCCGCCACCUUCCCAGUGUCCCAGCUAGGACCCCGACCACCUUAGCGAGAACUUACCUCUCCUUUGCAGUGGAAAAGAGGGAACCCAACCUAAAACCUACUUCACGCUGUUAUAGAGAAGAAGAUACAGAAAAUGAAAAUGAAAAUAAAAUUUAGUACUACAGCACAAAGGUCCAGCUUGCAGAAUUAAUUGACUGUCUAGACGAAGAUUAUUGGGAAGCAGAACUCUGCAAAAUUCUGGAAGAAAUGCGUGAAGAAAUCCACCGACACAUGAACAUAACUGAAGACCUGACUGAUAAGGUUCGGGGCAGUAACAAAUCCUUUCUGGCGGCAGCUAAUGGUUUUAAAAACAUAUAAACCUUAAAAGUUUUAAUAGUAUAAAAGGGUAUGUUGUGAAAAAUGAAUCUCUCUCCUUCAUUACUCUGAACUAUAAAUUUUUAAAUAUGUAUGUAAUACCAUAAAUGACAUAUUAGUUGUAACUGCUGAAAGCAGGAUUUCACAUUAAGAUUUUACUAAUUUCUUAUUAGCUCUGACUCAUUUGAGGCUGAAUUCUUACUAUGCUAUCUAAAUCAAAAUUUUAAUGUACAUGUUAACAAUGCAUAAUAACAAAAAAACCCCAAAACAGAAUACAGCUUUUAUAUUAUUGAACUUUAUGUACAAAAUCAUUUGAUUUCAAAUAAACAUUUAAUGUAAAAACAAA
Symphalangus syndactylus (siamang) is the source of this 1198-nucleotide long non-coding RNA. RefSeq lists it as uncharacterized. Lineage: Eukaryota; Metazoa; Chordata; Mammalia; Primates; Hylobatidae. The record is from RefSeq and is a predicted model, not a curated record.